This 514-nucleotide long non-coding RNA is filed under the name Cyanistes caeruleus (blue tit). Its description in RNAcentral is "lncRNA (ENSCCEG00000004434.1)". Lineage: Eukaryota; Metazoa; Chordata; Aves; Passeriformes; Paridae. The record is from RNAcentral.
CCACUAUUUACUCUUCUACUGGAUAUUUUGCCUGAAAUGCUCAGACAAGAAGAAUCCUCAUAUCUUGUGUAGCAAGAGAAGACAGAUUGUUGCUUUCAUGAUAAAAAAAAUCCCUCGAGGAACAAGGAGGCAGAAAUAUGUGUGACAAUAAGAAAUGGCACAAGAGAAAUAAAAAUCAACUUGGACAGACAGCACCUGCACAGAUGUUGAGCAAGAGCAUAGGUACCUGUAACCUCUGAGCCAGAGGCAUGACCUCGAGAUGAUAUUAAGGAACAUGGUAUUCACCAGCACUAUGUGGGUAUGACAGCAAAUAAGAAUGCAAUCAUAUUUUUUGAAGUGACAGACAGGGUCCACCCAUUUCUGCUCCACUGACAGAUUCCAGAUGAAAUGGAAUCACAUAAAGAUGUGAACUCUCAAGAUGUUUUGUUCUACAAAGGUAGUUAUUAUACAUUGGAAUUUAACACUUAAUAUUUCUGAAAUGUAGUCCAUUCUGAAUAUUGUAAAAAAAGGCGAA